GUCUACGGCCAUACCACCCUGAAUGCACCAAAUCUUGUCUGAUCUCAGAAGUUAAACAGGUUCGGGCUUGGUUAUUACUUGGGUUGGAGUUGAAUAUAUAAAAAUGAAAAAUUAUAGACC
RNAcentral lists this ribosomal RNA (120 nucleotides) under Callithrix jacchus (white-tufted-ear marmoset). The record is from RNAcentral. Lineage: Eukaryota; Metazoa; Chordata; Mammalia; Primates; Cebidae.